This 24-nucleotide non-coding RNA is filed under the name Arabidopsis thaliana (thale cress). Lineage: Eukaryota; Viridiplantae; Streptophyta; Magnoliopsida; Brassicales; Brassicaceae. The record is from RNAcentral.
UACUUUUCAAAAAUGUGACAGUGC